RNAcentral lists this ribosomal RNA (253 nucleotides) under uncultured bacterium. RNAcentral's name for it is "partial 16S ribosomal RNA". It matches the Rfam family "Bacterial small subunit ribosomal RNA", at positions 524 to 776 of the family's 1533-position model. The record is from RNAcentral.
UACGUAGGGGGCAAGCGUUGUCCGGAUUUAUUGGGCGUAAAGAGCGUGUAGGCGGCCAGACAGGUCCGUUGUGAAAACUCGAGGCUCAACCUCGAGAUGUCGAUGGAAACCGUCUGGCUAGAGUCCGGAAGAGGAGUGUGGAAUUCCUGGUGUAGCAGUGAAAUGCGUAGAGAUCAUGAGGAAGACCAGUGGCGAAGGCGGGUCUCUGGACAGUUCCUGACACUGAGACACGAAGGCCAGGGGAGCAAACGGG